Long non-coding RNA from Acipenser ruthenus (sterlet), 1322 nucleotides. RefSeq lists it as uncharacterized. The transcript has 2 exons. Lineage: Eukaryota; Metazoa; Chordata; Actinopteri; Acipenseriformes; Acipenseridae. The record is from RefSeq and is a predicted model, not a curated record.
UCCAACUGAAUCCCUUUAUAGAGCCACCCAUCUGUAACUCCUCCCCUGGGACUCAACCAAGAUUACUAAAACCCCAUUCAUAAGUUACCAUACAAAUAUACUUUACCAUUAAAUAUCAAUAACUAGUAUAAACAUUAAAAUUCAAAUCUUGCAGAAAUUAUUGCCCAAACCCAUAACUAAAUAGCAUGUGGCUUAGUUUACAUAAUAACUACUCCCCCCUGCUACUACUGGGUGCAUCCAAAGGUCCAGCUAUUAACAGCAAUACGGUAAAUAAAACUCAAAGUGCCCGCAUUACAUCACUUUUGGUAACCCGAAGUUAUAUUAGUCUCCGCCCACAAAAUGGCGCCUUCUAUCUCCACCCUUCUGCUGAAUGACUCACCAUGCAGCCAACCAAGAGCUACAGCAUCGGAGGACAACGCAGCUCUCGGGCAGCUUACAAGCAAACCCACAGGUGCCUGCCAGACUAUAGGGGUCACUGGUGCGUGGUGAGGCGAGGACACCCUGGCCGACUGAAACCCCCCGGUGAUGCCCAGCCAAUUGUGCGCCGCCCCCUGGGAGCUCCUGUCCACAGUGGCUGUGGAAUAGCCUGGACUUGAACUGGCGAUGUCCAGGAUAUAGAGUGCAUCCUGCACUCCACGUGGAGCGCCUUUACCGGAUGCGCCACUCGGGAGCCCCUUUCGGAUGCUUUUUUUAAAAAAGCUUUCUUCUUUGAACAGUUAAGACUCUGGAAUGUUUGCCUGCCCCAUACUGCCAACAUUCUCUCCGUGUCCGAACAGUAAAACAAGUCAUCUAAGUUAGCACAGACUGUCAGGUCUAUUAUUAUUAUUAUUAUUAUUAUUAUUAUUUUUGCAUAAUGUACUUCAAAGUGGUCUUUUGUAAUUUGUGUUUUUCUUAAUCUGCAUUGGUUGUGGGUGUAUUCGGCCUGGUCCGACAUAGGACCGCAAAGGGUUAACAAUACUGGUUCAGGCAGUGUUGUAAAAUUCGAGUUGGAAAGAAAACGGCAAAAAAAAAAAUCAAAAACAAAAAGGACAGAGGGACAGAUGACACAGUUAGUUUGUAGCUAGAGCAAGUACAGUUUUUCGACCAUAUAUACCAUACAGAUAUGCUUUAAAAUCAUACAUAGGGUAAGAAAUACAGACAAACAUAAGAAAUAGGAGAGUUGUAACUGCAUAAGACUUAUAAGUCGUAGUUAAACUGAAGACUGUUUGUAUGCAGCUGUAUUGUUGCUGAACAUAUUGCUGUACAACAAUGGAAGGAUUAUCCACCCGUUUGACUGCCAUGGAUGUAAGUAAAUAAAACAUAUUGUUUCUGAAGUUUGAAAA